UACGUAGGUGGCAAGCGUUAUCCGGAAUUAUUGGGCGUAAAGGGACCGCAGGCGGAUCCUUAAGUCUGAUGUGACACUCCUCGGCUUAACUGGGGAAGGCCAUUGGAAACUGGGGGACUAGAGUGUGGUAGAGGAGGGCGGAAUUCCCGGUGUAGCGGUGAAAUGCGUAGAGAUCGGGAGGAACACCGAAGGCGAAGGCAGC
RNAcentral lists this ribosomal RNA (202 nucleotides) under uncultured bacterium. RNAcentral describes it as "partial 16S ribosomal RNA". It matches the Rfam family "Bacterial small subunit ribosomal RNA", at positions 524 to 725 of the family's 1533-position model. The record is from RNAcentral.